CCGAGUGUAGGGUUCCUAGCGAGCCCAACCUCCCACCCGUGUUUACUGUACCUUAGUUGCUUCGGCGGGCCCGCCGUCAAGGCCGCCGGGGGGCAUCAGCCCCCGGGCCCGCGCCCGCCGGAGACACCACGAACUCUGUCUGAUCUAGUGAAGUCUGAGUUGAUUGUAUCGCAAUCAGUUA
RNAcentral lists this unclassified non-coding RNA (181 nucleotides) under uncultured Aspergillus. Its description in RNAcentral is "sequence contains ITS1". Lineage: Eukaryota; Fungi; Ascomycota; Eurotiomycetes; Eurotiales; Aspergillaceae. The record is from RNAcentral.